This 429-nucleotide ribosomal RNA is filed under the name Chloroflexota bacterium. RNAcentral describes it as "Chloroflexi bacterium partial 16S ribosomal RNA". It matches the Rfam family "Bacterial small subunit ribosomal RNA", at positions 355 to 776 of the family's 1533-position model. The record is from RNAcentral. RNAcentral also lists the same sequence under 1 other name. Lineage: Bacteria; Bacillati; Chloroflexota.
UGGGGAAUAUUGCACAAUGGGCGCAAGCCUGAUGCAGCCAUGCCGCGUGUAUGAAGAAGGCCUUUGGGUUGUAAAGUACUUUCAGCGGGGAGGAAGGGAGUAAAGUUAAUACCUUUGCUCAUUGACGUUACCCGCAGAAGAAGCACCGGCUAACUCCGUGCCAGCAGCCGCGGUAAUACGGAGGGUGCAAGCGUUAAUCGGAAUUACUGGGCGUAAAGCGCACGCAGGCGGUUUGUUAAGUCAGAUGUGAAAUCCCCGGGCUCAACCUGGGAACUGCAUCUGAUACUGGCAAGCUUGAGUCUCGUAGAGGGGGGUAGAAUUCCAGGUGUAGCGGUGAAAUGCGUAGAGAUCUGGAGGAAUACCGGUGGCGAAGGCGGCCCCCUGGACGAAGACUGACGCUCAGGUGCGAAAGCGUGGGGAGCAAACAGG